AUCUCUCUCUCUCUCUCUCUCUCGUUCUCUUCUCUGAUUAUUAGGGUUCCACUACUCUGAUUUCAGAGAACUUAUGAAGUAUCAAUUCAGUAAUCUCUCCGAGAUUAAAGUUGAAUGAUUUACUGAUUUCGGAGAUCUCAAAUCCCAAAUCAAGACCUAAUCUCAAAUCUGAGAACUGACCUAGCAGCGCCGUUCUCCACCAUGAUUCGAUCUAUUAAUGGAAGUAAACUCGUUCCACCAUGAUUUGAUCUCAGUUGUUGCAUUAUAUUCUUCGAUCUAUAACCAUCUUCUUCGAUCUAUACAUGUUUUCGUUCUUCCAUCUCACUGCGACCAUUUUAUUCUUCAGUCUUUCCUGUAAAUUAUCAUUGGUUUUUGUAGUUUUUGCUGUGCAGGUGGAGAUUAAUAGGUUAAAUGAAGAGCUAAUUCGGUUGAAGGAUCAGGUAUGGGUAAGUAUUGGACGAUCUCUGUCUUUUUUUUACAUAAGUUUUAUUUGAGAUUCAUUUUACCCAUGUAGGUGUAAAUUCAGUCGUACAAAGGGGUUUGGUGAUUUGAUUGUUGUUGUUGAGAUUUUGCUUGAAGAAAUGAAGAUGAAACUUGGGUAUGAUUCUGAUUUUGAUAAUAUGGGGUUUUGAAUAGUUGUAGUUAUUGUGGAUCUGAGUUUUAGAGUCAUAGAAGAUGGAGGUUUAAAUGAAAUCUGUGUGCAUCUUUUGUGGGGUAUUAAGGUGAAAGAAUGGUUGAGUCAGGUAGUUUAGUCGAGUGGAUGGGUUUGCUGUUGGUGAUGGACGAAGAAGAUAAUUGAUCUGGUGGCUGGUUAAAAUGGGUUUUCCGGGUAAAAGGCUGUUGAGAGUUUAAUUCAUUAGGAUUUAGUUUGCGAUGCGGAGCAAAAAAAAUCCAUCUUAUAUACACUUUCUGUCUUUCUCGUUGUUGUUUGGCUCAGUUUUGUGCCUCCUUGGAAGCCUUGAAUAAGUUUUAACAAUUCAUUAAAAAAAAGUACUUGACAUUUCGCACUUAUGGGUGUAGGAUCUUUCGGUCACUAUCAGACGUGUAGGUCUGGAGUUCCUAAAGGAGGAGUAGACAGUUGUUGGUAUAUCCUUUUUUUCUGGGUAACUGGAGUUUAUUUCAUUGAUGGGACGGCAAUUACAUUGUAUGCGCUUAUUUUUAAAUCCAACCAUUGUUAACAACAUGGGAUAAAUCACAAGGAAGUCUUACAAGGGUACAAUUUUAUUCAUUGUGGACCUCGAAGAUAUUGAUACUUAUUGUAAUUUUGUUGUUGUUUAAUUAACUGUUUAUACCGUUCCAGGUAACAUUACUAAACCUUGAAAUUGUAAGAGAUCUAGCCAGAGGUGUGGAGUUUACUCUUUGUAAUUUAGUAUAGUGAAUGUGCCUUUACUUUGUUCCCCAAUCUUACAUUUUUAGAACAUAGAAAAUAAUAAGUGUUAUGCUCCACUUGCUCAUGUCUUACAAGAGCUUUUUUCUUUUUUUCGUUACAUUCUUACAGAUGGAAUCUCAUCUGUUGGAAUGUCUCCAUUUGUUUCUGGAUGGACUACAUGCAAAAAGAAAUGUAACGAACUCCAAAUAAAGUUAUGUAUUCUCCGAUGUGUCUCUGCCAAGUGCCAUCUCUUCGUGCUUUACAAGAACUUUAGUUUCUGAUCACAAAUAUCGGUUGUUCAUACAUCUCAAGUUGCCAUGUCAAUCGACUCUGGUUUUAUCCCUGUUCAAGAGAUGGUUUGAUUGCGAAGAGUUAAGACAAUUGUGUGUCUUUGGUUGAGAGUGUGGAGAAGAGUGGAAGAUGAUGAUGUUGGUGGGAUUAAAGUGCUAGUUUCUGAAUUGUGGAAUGAGAACCAAGAAGUGAUUGUCGGGGAAGUUGCUAACUUUGCGACUUAUGCAUUUGUCCUAAUUAUUGUCGGCACGAAACAAGUUCAUUCUCCAAGUUGUGUGUACUUUUCAGUUUUUAGGCUAAGGGUCAUCUUUUCUUGCAGCUCUGCACUUGCAAAACCUAGAAGUCUCUUAAGAUUAAGGAAAAUAAGUCAUUUUUAUUUCUAGUUUUAUCUUUUUGUUUAGCAAUUUUUCUUUCUUUUUGAAUUUGUUGUGAAGUUCAUUUGCUUAGUUAGUUUUGGUUCUAAAACAAGGGUAACUUGAUUUUGUUGGAUUAAUUUAAUUUUCAAAUGAAUAUGGGUAAUCUGAUUUUGGUUU
This is a long non-coding RNA of Papaver somniferum (opium poppy), 2193 nucleotides long. RefSeq lists it as uncharacterized. The transcript has 3 exons. NCBI's taxonomy places the organism in Eukaryota, Viridiplantae, Streptophyta, Magnoliopsida, Ranunculales, Papaveraceae. The record is from RefSeq and is a predicted model, not a curated record.